GUGAUGAGAUGUUUUCAACAGCAUCGCUUCUUCUUCUUACACGAGGUGAGAGGAGAUGCCGGACUCCCCAGUCUUCCCGGUCAAAGACAAGAAAGUGAAGAAAGGUCUGUCAGAAGCAGCUGAAGCUGGAGUCGAUGCACAUGUAAUUAU
Molecule: long non-coding RNA, 150 nt
Organism: Mobula hypostoma (lesser devil ray)
Lineage: Eukaryota; Metazoa; Chordata; Chondrichthyes; Myliobatiformes; Myliobatidae
Exons: 3
Source: RefSeq, a predicted model, not a curated record